RNAcentral lists this long non-coding RNA (679 nucleotides) under Ficedula albicollis (Collared flycatcher). Its description in RNAcentral is "lncRNA (ENSFALG00000023026.1)". The record is from RNAcentral. Lineage: Eukaryota; Metazoa; Chordata; Aves; Passeriformes; Muscicapidae.
AGAAGAUCAGUUUGACACUUUAUGUCUAAGUGGAUGCAAUCUCUUUGGAGAAAAGCAAGCAGCACCCAAUGAAAAUGCAAAAGAGAAGGCUAGUGUGGUAUAUCUUUUAAGGCUGUUAAGGCAAACUAGUUAACUCUUUUUUUUUUUUUUUUUUUUUUUUUUUUUCCAUAAGAAAUAUCUUUGGUGUCAUGCCAGGGGUACCAAUGGAGUCCCAGAGGAAUGAAUUUCAACCCUGCAGUCUCAAGAGUUGGGCCUCCAGCUGGCUGUAUACAGAUGUACUUAAUCUAAGUGUUGUCCUUACUGGAACAAACUCCCCUUGGAGUGAUUCCCAUCUUGUCUGUAGGGAGAACCCAAUGUCCAAGAAACCAGGAGCAAACGAAUGCAAGGCUGGUUUGCCACUUGGAGAGGCCAGACAAGAGAAAAUGCUCAUCAUUGCACUGGACUUCCAGGAUGAAAUUAUGCAGUAUCUGCUCUAAUAAAAUGAUCUGGUGAGACCUGCUGUUCCUUGGGCAUUAUCAGUCAACUGGGAGCUCAACAGCACAAAAGAGGUGGAUCUCUCUCUGAGCUGAGUACUUGGAACCUCUCUAAAUUUAGGCCAUGUCUACAACUGAAUUUCAGCUUUUUUAGCUGAUGAAUUAACGAAUGGUAUGCAACUGUGAAUUGGAACUACUCAUUUUUU